RNAcentral lists this ribosomal RNA (429 nucleotides) under Bacteroidota bacterium. Its description in RNAcentral is "Bacteroidetes bacterium partial 16S ribosomal RNA". It matches the Rfam family "Bacterial small subunit ribosomal RNA", at positions 355 to 776 of the family's 1533-position model. The record is from RNAcentral. Lineage: Bacteria; Pseudomonadati; Bacteroidota.
UAGGGAAUCUUCCGCAAUGGACGCAAGUCUGACGGAGCAACGCCGCGUGAGUGAAGAAGGAUUUCGGUUCGUAAAACUCUGUUGUUAGAGAAGAACAGCGCAUAGAGUAACUGUUAUGCGUGUGACGGUAUCUAACCAGAAAGCCACGGCUAACUACGUGCCAGCAGCCGCGGUGAUACGUAGGUGGCAAGCGUUGUCCGGAUUUAUUGGGCGUAAAGCGAGCGCAGGCGGUCAAUUAAGUCUGAUGUGAAAGCCCCCGGCUCAACCGGGGAGGGUCAUUGGAAACUGGUUGACUUGAGUGCAGAAGAGGAGAGUGGAAUUCCAUGUGUAACGGUGAAAUGCGUAGAUAUAUGGAGGAACACCAGUGGCGAAGGCGACUCUCUGGUCUGUAACUGACGCUGAGGCUCGAAAGCGUGGGUAGCAAACAGG